RNAcentral lists this ribosomal RNA (649 nucleotides) under uncultured bacterium. RNAcentral describes it as "bacterial SSU rRNA". It matches the Rfam family "Bacterial small subunit ribosomal RNA", at positions 8 to 640 of the family's 1533-position model. The record is from RNAcentral.
AGAGUUUGAUCCUGGCUCAGGACGAACGCUGGCGGCGUGCCUAAUACAUGCAAGUCGAGCGGACAGAAGGGAGCUUGCUCCCGGAUGUUACCGGCGGACGGGUGAGUAACACGUGGGUAACCUGCCUGUAAGACUGGGAUAACUCCGGGAAACCGGAGCUAAUACCGGAUAGUUCCUUGAACCACAUGGUUCAAGGAUAAAAGACGGUUUCGGCUGUCACUUACAGAUGGACCCUCGGCGCAUUAUCUAGUUGGUGGGGUAAUGGCUCACCAAGGCAACAAUGCGUAGCCGACCUGAUAGGGUGAUCGGCCACACUGGGACUGAGACACGGCCCAUACUCCUACGGGAGGCAGCACUAGGGAAUCUUCCUCAAUGAACAAAAGUCUGACGGAUCAACACCGCGUGAGUGAUGAACGUUUUCGGAUCGUAAAGCUCUGUUGUUAGGGAAGAACAAUUGUGAGAGUAACUGCUCGCACCUUGACGGUACCUAACCAGAAAGCCACGGCUAACUACGUGCCAUCAGCCCCGCUAAUAAUUAGGUGGCAAGCGUUGUCCGGAAUUAUUGGCCGUAAAGGGCUCGCAGGCUGCUUCUUAAGUCUAAUGUGAAAGCCCUCGGCUCUCCCUGGAACGGUCAUUGCAAACAGGAAAA